RNAcentral lists this ribosomal RNA (253 nucleotides) under uncultured bacterium. RNAcentral's name for it is "partial 16S ribosomal RNA". It matches the Rfam family "Bacterial small subunit ribosomal RNA", at positions 524 to 776 of the family's 1533-position model. The record is from RNAcentral.
UACAGAGGUCCCAAGCGUUGUUCGGAUUCACUGGGCGUAAAGGGUGCGUAGGCGGUCGGGUAAGUCUGACGUGAAAUCUUCAAGCUCAACUUGGAAACUGCGUCCGAUACUAUUCGGCUAGAGGAAUGGAGGGGAGACUGGAAUACUUGGUGUAGCAGUGAAAUGCGUAGAUAUCAAGUGGAACACCAGUGGCGAAGGCGAGUCCCUGGACAACUCCUGACACUGAGGCACGAAAGCUAGGGGAGCAAACGGG